RNAcentral lists this ribosomal RNA (248 nucleotides) under uncultured bacterium. RNAcentral's name for it is "partial 16S ribosomal RNA". It matches the Rfam family "Bacterial small subunit ribosomal RNA", at positions 118 to 348 of the family's 1533-position model. The record is from RNAcentral.
UGGGUAACCUGCCUCAAAGAGGGGAAUAGCCUCCCGAAAAGGGAGAUUAAUACCGCAUAAUAUGUUUAGGUCGCAUGACUUUAACAUCAAAGGAUUUUUCUUUUAAGAAAUUCCACUUUGAGAUGGACCCGCGGCGCAUUAGCUAGUUGGUGAGGUAACGGCUCACCAAGGCAACGAUGCGUAGCCGACCUGAGAGGGUGAUCGGCCACAUUGGAACUGAGACACGGUCCAGACCUCCGUAGGGACGG